Non-coding RNA from Dipodomys ordii (Ord's kangaroo rat), 65 nucleotides. The record is from Rfam. NCBI's taxonomy places the organism in Eukaryota, Metazoa, Chordata, Mammalia, Rodentia, Heteromyidae.
GGUGGCUCAGUGGUAGAGCUCUUGCCUUGCAUGCAUGAGGCCUUGGGUUCGAUUCCUCAGCACCA